RNAcentral lists this ribosomal RNA (503 nucleotides) under uncultured bacterium. RNAcentral describes it as "partial 16S ribosomal RNA". It matches the Rfam family "Bacterial small subunit ribosomal RNA", at positions 30 to 523 of the family's 1533-position model. The record is from RNAcentral.
AUUGAACGCUGGCGGCAGGCUUAACACAUGCAAGUCGAGCGGGGUGAUGGUGCUUGCACUAUCACUUAGCGGCGGACGGGUGAGUAAUGCUUAGGAAUCUGCCUAUUAGUGGGGGACAACAUCUCGAAAGGGAUGCUAAUACCGCAUACGUCCUACGGGAGAAAGCAGGGGAUCACUUGUGACCUUGCGCUAAUAGAUGAGUCUAAGUCGGAUUAGCUAGUUGGUGGGGUAAAGGCCUACCAAGGCGACGAUCUGUAGCGGGUCUGAGAGGAUGAUCCGCCACACUGGGACUAAGACACGGCCCAGACUCCUACGGGAGGCAGCAGUGGGGAAUAUUGGACAAGGGGGGGAACCCUGAUCCAGCCAUGCCGCGUGUGUGAAGAAGGCCUUAUGGUUGUAAAGCACUUUAAGCGAGGAGGAGGCUCUUUUGGUUAUUACCCAAGAUAAGUGGACGUUACUCGCAGAAUAAGCACCGGCUAACUCUGUGCCAGCAGCCGCAGUAA